This is a non-coding RNA of Pelodiscus sinensis (Chinese soft-shelled turtle), 550 nucleotides long. NCBI's taxonomy places the organism in Eukaryota, Metazoa, Chordata, Testudines, Trionychidae. The record is from RefSeq and is a predicted model, not a curated record.
UCUGAGGUAAGGUUUGAUUAGUUUUAGUCUAGGGAGAUGGCAGCAGGAAGUCUGACAGAAUGAACCUUGACUGCUGUCAUAGCCCAGUGUAGAGAGCAAGCUUGGAUUCACAUACCUGCCACCGGUAAGGAGACAUGAAGGCCUGAGAAGAGGGUUUGCAGACCCUGGAGCCCGGAAUGGAGAGUGGUACACCAGAUGGAGGGAUCAGGCAUUUGUUUUUGUUGGACUUUUCAUUACCCCAAAUGGGGAGAGACUAUUGUCUGAGGGGUGAGUCAUGCAAAGUGAGACGACUGCAGGAUCGGGUGUCUGUCAGCAUCAGUCUGGGGUGCUAGACAAUGAAACUGGCCAUGCCUUGCCACGAGGGGUACCUUAAUGGGAAAAGGCUACUGGAUCUGUGCAUAGAAGAGUAAAUGGUACAAGAUCUACAGUAUCUUUCAGGAGAUCUGCAGCAAAUGAAACCUUUGCCCAAGAGCAGAUGACUUGUGUUGGAAGCUCUCUAAUGCAUUAUUGAGAUAAUUGUGCCUGGAACCAGGAGGACAUCACCCACGUA